GUGGCUGCGAUCAGGACCGUGUGGCCCUGGGGGGUGGGGGACAGACCAGCAGGUGGACGGAACAGGAGGGAGAGCCCAGAAACAGCCACACGAACGCCCCCGACGGAUCCUUGACAAAGGAGCGAGGCCACCCAUGGGGCGAAGGCCGUGCCCUCCGCAGGCGGUGCUGGACAACUGGACGUCCACACGCAGAGGGAACGUGGACACGGGCCUUAUGCUCCUCUCGACUGGCUCACAAGGGGUCACGGACGCGGCGUGGGAUGCGAAACUAUGACACUUCUAGAAGACGACACAGGAGAAAUCCCCGGUGACCCUGGACGGGAGGAUGACCCUGUAGACCCGGCACCACGGGUCCAAUCCAGGAGACAAACAACUGACCGGCUGGACCUUGUCCUGCGAAAGUCAGGGGGGUGAGAGGACAAGCACCGGCCGGCAGCAAAUAUUUGCAAAAGACACAGCUGAUAGAGGACGGCGCCUACAAUACGUAAAGAUCUCUGAACACUCAACAACACGACCUGACAACGCGUUUAAGAGCGGACGGGAGACCUGCACGGAGACACGCAGGUGGCAGAUCAGGAAGGCUGCUCCGCGUCCCAGGCCGUCAGGGAGACGGCGACGAAGACGUCAUGAUCUCAGGGUCGCGGGUCGGAGCUUCCGGUCGGGCUUCGUGCUCAGCGUGGAGACAGGACAAAACAAAGGAGCUAAGGAGGAAGAGCUGCCUGAAGAGGCAUGAGGACGCAUAAGCAGAGUGAAUAAAAGGGUUUUCGGGUC
Molecule: long non-coding RNA, 771 nt
Organism: Canis lupus familiaris (dog)
Lineage: Eukaryota; Metazoa; Chordata; Mammalia; Carnivora; Canidae
Exons: 2
Source: RefSeq, a predicted model, not a curated record